RNAcentral lists this long non-coding RNA (410 nucleotides) under Panax ginseng (ginseng). RNAcentral's name for it is "long non-coding RNA (PGIN_LNC008532)". Lineage: Eukaryota; Viridiplantae; Streptophyta; Magnoliopsida; Apiales; Araliaceae. The record is from RNAcentral.
CUUGAAAUAAUAUGUGCACUUCUCAAACGAAAAUCGAAUAUUUGUUGGCCAUCCAUUUACCAGAUCCCAAGUGAGAAAAUAUUUAUAGUUGAUAACCCACACAACAAGACAAACGAAACCAAUUGCAGUUGUAAGUCUGUUCCCAAAUUCAUCAAGCUUCUUCUUCAAAGGGGUAUCACUCUCUUCCAAAGAAGCCUCAUGAAUUUGUGUCUGUAUCUUGCCAAUUUCAGUGAGCAUCCCAGUGUUCACGGCAACACAGAUACAGUUUCCAUUUACUACUGUAGUGCCUGCGAAAACCAUAUUUUCUUUGGCCUGCAAUUCACAGUCAUCCAUGAAUAUAGUAUUGGUUCCUUUCAAAACAGGCAUUGCCUCCCCUGUCAAGGAACUCUGCUCAACUCUUAAGGUAGAAG